Long non-coding RNA from Micropterus salmoides (largemouth bass), 1477 nucleotides. RefSeq lists it as uncharacterized. The transcript has 2 exons. The record is from RefSeq and is a predicted model, not a curated record. NCBI's taxonomy places the organism in Eukaryota, Metazoa, Chordata, Actinopteri, Centrarchiformes, Centrarchidae.
AUAUUUACCGGUAAGUGUCGAGGCUCUGAUCUCAUUACUCGCAACAAGCAAACACCAAUCUCAGCACAACACAGAUGUGGGAGUGUGAUAAUAGACAUCAACCCAGGGGAGUUAAGAGCCUACAGGUGGACUCUGGAGUAGAGAUAGGACUUAUAUAAUGCUACGUGACCAGCAAAAUCUGUGGCAGCGGUGUGACAACAGGAGAUGGAAAAAAGCAGUGCAGUAACUUAGAGGAAAGAGUGAACAGAGCUUCAAUGUCAGCCUUGCAGCAGGUCAGUAUUUCACAUUUCUUCCUGAAGACCGCUUCAUACCAGCCAGAUUCAGCUUUUUCUGGAUCCAUAUCAUCAUGCGCCCAGUCGAUGGUUCCUGCUAGUGUAGGAACAUGGGUAGCACCACAGGGAGAAUGACCUUUUCAGCCAUGUGUCACCUGCCCAUGAUGCUCCAGGUGGUCCUCUCAGCAUAGCGUGUCUGAAUGUCUAUGUCAUGAUGCUCCAGUGAAGCAACACUGAAGGAAAUAGGAUCACAGCAAAGUAUUAGACUCAAGCACACACACACACAUUCACAGAUACACUUUUAUUUUAUUUUUAUUCAUCUGCAGUUGGCAAGUGUUUGGUUUAAAGAGAAGGCAUUUAGACAGUUGGUAUUAAAGCUGCACAAGGCGAAAGUUGGCAGCACAAAGACAGGCAAAAUAUCAAACCUUGGUGAGGCCAGCUCAAUGUGGAAAGAACAAUCCUUCUACUGUUCAGGAAAAAGUUUGCUCUUUUAUAUGAUUAAUUAAUUAUUGGUAGAACCAUUCACAAUAGGUUAUAAGCUGACACUAUCAAGAGUUAUCAGAUGCUCUGAGAAGUGUUUGAAGUCGCAAGAAACCAAAUUCAUAUUUACCCCUUUAAAGCAUCAAUGAUUUUUUGUUGUUUGCCUUUGGGUUUGAUUAUCAGGAUAUUGAAAGCUAACGGCCACUUUUCUCUGUUGUGAAACAGGUCUGAUGCAGAUCCAAUUUGUUUUUAGUAGGGCAGAUUUUUUGUUAUUCAAAUCUUUUUUGUUUUAACCAUGAAUCUUACUUUUAGAUUUACUGCCAGGGGACAUCACCCACACAAAGACCUUUAGCUGUUGUAGCGGCGAAUCCAGUGGUCUAACUGCAACACUUUUGAACACAAGACUAAAUGUAACUGUCAUCCUGUUGUUUUAUUUGCAAAAAUACAAUGCAUCCAAAAAUUGUAUUAGCAAUAAACAUAUUAAAAAAUAUUGCCUAAUCUUUGAUCAUGAUGCAACAGCUUCACAAAACUAUUGUUUAUUAUUAUAUGUGCAUGUUCCUAGACAACAUAAAUAAUGAAUGCAAUGUUUUUCUGCAGGUAAUUAUAAAAAAUAUAAUGCAGCACAUUGUCCAUCGCUUAUACUUGCUUUAUUUACAAAGUUUCAGUUCUUAGACAUUCAUGAAAAUUAAUGAUUGAAUGACUGAAAUAAAAAGAUUUUUGCGUGA